AGAAUGUGUUUAGAAAAUUUAAAACAACACUAAAGAUCAUAGGUUUCAGUAUCGAGAGAAUUUACCGAAAAACUCAAUAUUUUCGUACGGGUUAACCCAUAGAUUUUGAAAAAAAUUCAAAAAUAUGAAAAUAUUUUUUUAAUGCAUACUUUCAUCCUUCUGUAGCAUAUGAUGAAGGUCAAAGAGGUUUGUAACCUUUGUUGUCUCCGUUUCUCUUGAGAAUAGCGAUUUUAUCGUGGUUAGUCCACCAAUUUAGGAAGUAUUAUGAAGUUUUACUAAAUUAAUUGACAAAAAAUUAAAACGAUGCUCAUGAACCAUGAAAGAGAGUUUAAUAUACAUUAAUAAAAAUGAAGAAUGUGUUUAGAAAAUUUAAAACAACACUAAAGAUCAUAGGUUUCAGUAUAUAGAGAAUUUAUCGAAAAACUCAAUAUUUUCGUAGGGGUUAACCCAUAGAUUUUGAGAAAAAUUCAAAAAUAUGAAAAUAUUUUUUUAAUGCAUAUUUUCAUCCUUCUGUAACAUAUGAUGAAGGUCAAAGAGGUUUGUAACUUUUGUUGUCUCCGUUUCUCUUGAGAAUAGCGAUUUUAUCGUGGUUAGUCCACCAAUUUAGGAAGAAUUAUGAAGUUUUACUAAAUUACAUGACAAAAAAUUAAAACGAUGCUCAUGAACCAUGAAAUAGAGUUUAAUAUACAUUAAUAAAAAUGAAGAAUGUGUUUAGAAAAUUUAAAACAACACUAAAGAUCAUAGGUUUCAGUAUAUAGAGAAUUUACCGAAAAACUCAAUAUUUUCGUAGAGACCCAUAGAUUUUGAGAAAAAUUCAAAAAAAAUGAAAAUAUUUUUUAAUGCAUAUUUUCAUCCUUCUGUAACAUAUGAUGAAGGUCAAAGAGGUUUGUAACUUUUAUUGUCUCCGUUUCUCUUGAGAAUACCGAUUUUAUCGUGGUUAGUCCACCAAUUUAGGAAGAAUUAUGAAGUUUUACUAAAUUACAUGACAAAAAAUUAAAACGAUGAUCAUGAACCAUGAAAGAGAGUUUAAUAUACAUUAAUAAAAAU
Molecule: long non-coding RNA, 1047 nt
Filed under: Brassica napus (rape)
Lineage: Eukaryota; Viridiplantae; Streptophyta; Magnoliopsida; Brassicales; Brassicaceae
Description: long non-coding RNA (BNAP_LNC004734)
Source: RNAcentral